UACGGGGGGGGCAAGCGUUGUUCGGAAUUACUGGGCGUAAAGGGCGCGUAGGCGGGCCCGUUAGUCAGGGGUGAAAUCCCACGGCCCAACCGUGGAAGUGCCUCUGAUACUGCGGGCCUCGAGGGAGGUAGGGGCGUGCGGAACUCAGGGUGGAGCGGUGAAAUGCGUAGAUAUCCUGAGGAACACCGGUGGCGAAAGCGGCGCGCUGGACCUCUUCUGACACUGAAUCGCGAAAGCUAGGGGAGCAAACGGG
Molecule: ribosomal RNA, 253 nt
Filed under: uncultured bacterium
Lineage: Bacteria
Description: partial 16S ribosomal RNA
Rfam family: Bacterial small subunit ribosomal RNA
Source: RNAcentral